Sinocyclocheilus grahami is the source of this 263-nucleotide long non-coding RNA. RefSeq lists it as uncharacterized. NCBI's taxonomy places the organism in Eukaryota, Metazoa, Chordata, Actinopteri, Cypriniformes, Cyprinidae. The transcript is spliced from 3 exons. The record is from RefSeq and is a predicted model, not a curated record.
UCACUAAUUAGACAGUGACAGAUUGCUGCAUUAAAUGAAUCUGAUCAGUUCCUCAUGUCUGCUGCUUUUGCGAUCAUUUUCACGCAAUAUACAUCGGAGGAACAUGCACCCAUUUAUCUCGCGUCUUUACACUGAGGGAUCCUCUCAGACUACAGUGGAGCUGUCUAAAGCCCAACUACAGAAACUCGGUUGCAUUCGGUUCAUAGGAAGUUUGCAAUUGUUCCAGAAAAUUCAGAGUUCCAGGAACAGCAUCAUGUACAGUU